Molecule: ribosomal RNA, 400 nt
Filed under: uncultured bacterium
Lineage: Bacteria
Description: bacterial SSU rRNA
Rfam family: Bacterial small subunit ribosomal RNA
Source: RNAcentral
GGGGAAUAUUGGACAAUGGGCGAAAGCCUGAUCCAGCCAUGCCGCGUGAGUGAUGAAGGCCUUAGGGUUGUAAAGCUCUUUCAGUAGGGAAGAUAAUGACGGUACCUACAGAAGAAGCCCCGGCUAACUUCGUGCCAGCAGCCGCGGUAAUACGAAGGGGGCUAGCGUUGUUCGGAUUUACUGGGCGUAAAGCGCACGUAGGCGGAUCGUUAAGUCGGGGGUGAAAUCCUGGAGCUCAACUCCAGAACUGCCUUCGAUACUGGCGAUCUUGAGUCCGGAAGAGGUGAGUGGAACUCCUAGUGUAGAGGUGGAAUUCGUAGAUAUUAGGAAGAACACCAGUGGCGAAGGCGGCUCACUGGUCCGGUACUGACGCUGAGGCGCGAAAGCGUGGGGAGCAAAC